GAACCCCCAUCGGCGGCGGCGGCGAGCCCCGACGCGGCGGCGCUAGUAGUUUUACAACCACCGGCACCGCCUUAUCCACCGUACGCACACUAUGACGGCGCAACGACACUGGCGAGCGAGUACGCGUACGCGGCGCCGUACUCGCAAUACUCGCCGUACCCCGCCCCGUACUCGCACACCACCGGCCUGCUCACCAAGUGAUAUCAACGUACGCCGUGCGAGCAAUAGCGGUGGGCAAGUGAUAACAGACACUGAUAACGUGUAUAAAACAAUUGUCAACAUGUCCAUAUCUGUCAAUCUGUCAUGUGUAGCAGUGUUAACGUUUUUCUGGUAACAUGGUCUCUAAGAGAUUUAUAACUUCGUCUUUU
Cydia splendana is the source of this 368-nucleotide long non-coding RNA. RefSeq lists it as uncharacterized. NCBI's taxonomy places the organism in Eukaryota, Metazoa, Arthropoda, Insecta, Lepidoptera, Tortricidae. The record is from RefSeq and is a predicted model, not a curated record. The transcript has 3 exons.